GUACACGCUGUGACUAGCAUAUCAAUAAGCGGAGGAAAAGAAACUAACAAGGAUUCCCCUAGUAACGGCGAGUGAAGCGGGAAGAGCUCAAAUUUGAAAUCUUAAAGGGUUUCCCUUUACGAAUUGUAGUUUAAAUGAAGUGUUUUCUGUUGAGGUUUUGGUAAAAGUUCUUUGGAAUAGGACAUCAUAGAGGGUGAGAAUCCCGUAUUUGACCUUUACUUUCAACUUUGUGAUACACUUUCAAAGAGUCGGAUUGUUUGGGAAUGCAGUCCAAAAUGGGUGGUAAAUUUCAUCUAAAGCUAAAUAUUGGCGAGAGACCGAUAGCGAACAAGUACCGUGAGGGAAAGAUGAAAAGAACUUUGAAAAGAGAGUUAAACAGUACGUGAAAUUGUCAAAAGGGAGGCGUUUGACACCAGUGUUGUUUUUCUGAAAAUCAAUUAAAGAACUGUUUAUGCUAAGUUGUUUAGACUUUAUCAGCUAUCUGUUUAGUUUUGAGCUUUUCUUUAAUGCACUUUUCAGUUAACAAGUCAACAUCAAUUUCUUUUGCUGUAAAAAAGCUUGAGGAAGGUGGCUUGAGAUUCGUCUUAAGUGUUUAUAGCCUCUUGCCUAUGCAGUCGGAGAGAUUGAGGUCUGCAGCGUAGAUCCUUCGGGGCUAAAUGCAUUUGUGCUAAGUUAUAGCAUUUUAUAGACAACUUGUUGACUAUGAUUUGUCUUGUAGCUUACUCGCUUAUGUUAUUUUACCUACGCUUAGGAUGUUGAGUCGUAGAGCACGCAG
RNAcentral lists this ribosomal RNA (775 nucleotides) under uncultured Neocallimastigales. RNAcentral's name for it is "partial large subunit ribosomal RNA". It matches the Rfam family "Eukaryotic large subunit ribosomal RNA", at positions 22 to 628 of the family's 3401-position model. Lineage: Eukaryota; Fungi; Neocallimastigomycota; Neocallimastigomycetes; Neocallimastigales. The record is from RNAcentral.